This 27-nucleotide small RNA is filed under the name Bombyx mori (domestic silkworm). RNAcentral describes it as "ovarian small RNA-32975". The record is from RNAcentral. Lineage: Eukaryota; Metazoa; Arthropoda; Insecta; Lepidoptera; Bombycidae.
UGAUUAAAUGUUGUAACGAUGGAAGAA